GACGAACGCUGGCGGCGUGCCUAAUACAUGCAAGUAGAACGCUGAAGGAGGAGCUUGCUCUUCUGGAUGAGUUGCGAACGGGUGAGUAACGCGUAGGUAACCUGCCUGGUAGCGGGGGAUAACUAUUGGAAACGAUAGCUAAUACCGCAUAAGAGUAGAUGUUGCAUGACAUUUACUUAAAAGGUGCACUUGCAUCACUACCAGAUGGACCUGCGUUGUAUUAGCUAGUUGGUGGGGUAACGGCUUACCAAGGCGACGAUACAUAGCCGACCUGAGAGGGUGAGCGGCCACACUGGGAAUGGGACACGGCCCAGACUCCUACGGGAGGCAGCAGUAGGGGAAUAUCGGAAAAGGACGGAAGUCUGACCGAGCAACGCCGCGGGGGGGAAGAAGGGUUUCGGAUCGUAAAGGUCGGUUGUAAGAGAAGAAAGAGUGUGAGGGUGGAAAGUUCACGCUGUGACGGUACCUAACCAGAAAGGGACGGCUAACUACGUG
RNAcentral lists this ribosomal RNA (495 nucleotides) under uncultured bacterium. Its description in RNAcentral is "partial 16S ribosomal RNA". It matches the Rfam family "Bacterial small subunit ribosomal RNA", at positions 28 to 507 of the family's 1533-position model. The record is from RNAcentral.